RNAcentral lists this ribosomal RNA (494 nucleotides) under uncultured bacterium. Its description in RNAcentral is "partial 16S ribosomal RNA". It matches the Rfam family "Bacterial small subunit ribosomal RNA", at positions 28 to 507 of the family's 1533-position model. The record is from RNAcentral.
GACGAACGCUGGCGGCGUGCUUAACACAUGCAAGUCGAACGGUGAAGCGCCUUCCUUUUUGGUGGGUGUGGAUGAGUGGCGAACGGGUGAGUAAAACGUUAGUAACCUGCCCCCUUCUUCUUGAUAACCGCAUGAAAGCGUGGCCAAUACGGGAUAUUCUGGGUCUUUCGCCUGUUGGGUCUGGGACAGAAUUUGUUUCGGCGGGGGAUUGGCUCGCGGCCUAUCAGCUUGUUGGUGGGGUGAUGGUCUGCCAAGGCGGUGACGGGUAGGCGGCCUGAGAGAGUGACAGGACUGAGAGGGAGUGUAACACAGCCAAAGCUCGAACGAGGGCGAGCAGUAGGGGUUAGAGAACAGUGGACGCUAGUAUGAUGCAGCGACGCCGCGUGUGGGAUGGAGGCCUUCGGGUUGUGAACCUCUUUCGCCAGUAAAGCAGGCGUGCCUUGUUUGUGGGUGCAUUGACGGUAGCUGGAUAAGAAGCUCCGGCUAGCUACGUG